GACGAACGCUGGCGGCGUGCUUAACACAUGCAAGUCGAACGGAAAGGCCCUGCUUUUGUGGGGUGCUCGAGUGGCGAACGGGUGAGUAACACGUGAGUAACCUGCCCUUGACUUUGGGAUAACUUCAGGAAACUGGGGCUAAUACCGGAUAGGAGCUCCUGCUGCAUGGUGGGGGUUGGAAAGUUUCGGCGGUUGGGGAUGGACUCGCGGCUUAUCAGCUUGUUGGUGGGGUAGUGGCUUACCAAGGCUUUGACGGGUAGCCGGCCUGAGAGGGUGACCGGCCACAAUGGGACUGAGAUACGGCCCAGACUCCUACGGGAGGCAGCAGGGGGGAAUAAUGCACAAUGGGCGGAAGCCUGAUGCAGCAACGCCGCGUGCGGGAUGACGGCCUUCGGGUUGUAAACCGCUUUCGCCUGUGACGAAGCGUGAGUGACGGUAAUGGGUAAAGAAGCACCGGCUAACUACGUG
This 468-nucleotide ribosomal RNA is filed under the name uncultured bacterium. Its description in RNAcentral is "partial 16S ribosomal RNA". It matches the Rfam family "Bacterial small subunit ribosomal RNA", at positions 28 to 507 of the family's 1533-position model. The record is from RNAcentral.